UACGUAGGGUGCGAGCGUUAAUCGGAAUUACUGGGCGUAAAGCGUGCGCAGGCGGUUUUGUAAGCCAGAUGUGAAAUCCCCGGGCUUAACCUGGGAAUGGCAUUUGGGACUGCAAGGCUGGAGUGCGGCAGAGGAGACUGGAAUUCCUGGUGUAGCAGUGAAAUGCGUAGAUAUCGGGAGGAACACCUGUGGCGAAAGCGGCUCACUGGACCAUAACUGACGCUGAUGCACGAAAGCUGGGGGAGCAAACAGG
Molecule: ribosomal RNA, 253 nt
Filed under: uncultured bacterium
Lineage: Bacteria
Description: partial 16S ribosomal RNA
Rfam family: Bacterial small subunit ribosomal RNA
Source: RNAcentral